AUUGGUAGCAGAUCGAGAGGUGAUGUCAUGGUUCAAGUACCAUAAUUGGUAGCAGAUCGAGAAGUGAUGUCAUGGUUCGAGUACCAUGAUUGGUAGCAGAUCGAGAGGUGAUAUCAUGGUUCGACUACCAUGAUUGGUAGCAGAUCGAGGGGUGAUUUCAUGGUUCAAGUACCAUGAUUAGUCGCAGAUUGAGAGAUGAUGUCAUGGUUCGAGUACCAUGAUUGGUAGCAGAUCGAGAGGUGAUGUCAUGGUUCGAGUACCGUGAUUGGUAGCAGAUUGAGAAGAGAUGUCGUGGUUCGAGUACCAUGAUUGGUGGAAGAUUGAGAAGAGAUAUCGAUGUUCGAGUACCAUGAUAUGUGACGGUUAGUGCUUCUGGUUUUUACCGAUUGUUCCACAGUGAUUAUCUGGACCAAGGUUGGAUGUGAAAGAGUAUGUGUCCAGAAGGCUAGGAUGAACGAGUUUUACUG
Molecule: long non-coding RNA, 467 nt
Filed under: Lactuca sativa (garden lettuce)
Lineage: Eukaryota; Viridiplantae; Streptophyta; Magnoliopsida; Asterales; Asteraceae
Description: long non-coding RNA (LSAT_LNC001106)
Source: RNAcentral